Onychostoma macrolepis is the source of this 556-nucleotide long non-coding RNA. RefSeq lists it as uncharacterized. The transcript is spliced from 3 exons. The record is from RefSeq and is a predicted model, not a curated record. Lineage: Eukaryota; Metazoa; Chordata; Actinopteri; Cypriniformes; Cyprinidae.
UUGGUGAAGCCUACACCCCUCAUUUCAAUUCCGUUGCUUCAGCCCUCUCCCUCAUAUCCAUCGCUGCACUCAUCCACCUUUUGCUGUAGUUCUCAGAUGAAGUAGUUGGAAAUGUGGCUGUCACUCUGAUACCACAGUGCCAUCUAUUGGUGGGAAAUCGAGGCUGCAUUAAAUGGUGAUGGAGUGAAAAGAAAGACGAAAAGGGGGAUCAAGCAGAAAAGUUUGCGUGUGAAAAGGAAAACAAAAGGGGAGCGAAUGUGCCGUUGCAUGCAUAAUCAUCUCUUCAAGCAUAGACAAUCCUUCAUAGUUAAAUGUAAAUAACGCUGGUGUGAUGGAUGAUGCUGUCAGGUUUCUUCAAAGCCCCCUCGCCCAUGAGAGCCCGGCUCCCGGAUGGGUAGAGCGUAAACGGAUAACGGGAGAGAAGAAUGAGUACAGGGAUUCCCAUUCAGACUGAUGACAAAGUCAUCUUCAAUGCACCAUCAUUCAAGUGAACAGUAAACAUAUUGAAAAUGAGCUACAUGAAAGAACAGGAAAUGGAUGUGAGGCACUGACCGAU